GACGAACGCUGGCGGCGUGCUUAACACAUGCAAGUCGAACGGAAAGGCCCUGCUUUUGUGGGUUGCUCGAGUGGCGAACGGGUGAGUAACACGUGAGUAACCUGCCCUUGACUUUGGGGUAACUUCAGGAAACUGGGGCUAAUACCCGAUAGGAGCUCCUGCUGCAUGGUGGUGAUUGGAAAGUUGCGGCGGUUGGGGAUGGACUCGCGGCUUAUCAGCUUGUUGGUGGGGUAGUGGCUUACCAAGGAUUUGAAGGGUAGCCGGCCUGAGAGGGUGACCGGCCACAUUGGGACUGAGAAACGGGCCAGAGGGCUACGGGAGGAAGGAGUGGGGAAUAUUGCACAAUGGGCGGAAGCCGGAUGCAGCAACGCCGCGUGGGGGAUGACGGCCUUCGGGGUGGAAACCGCGUUCGCCUGUGACGAAGCGUGAGUGACGGUAAUGGGUAAAGAAGCACCGGCUAACAACGU
Molecule: ribosomal RNA, 467 nt
Filed under: uncultured bacterium
Lineage: Bacteria
Description: partial 16S ribosomal RNA
Rfam family: Bacterial small subunit ribosomal RNA
Source: RNAcentral